Long non-coding RNA from Acipenser ruthenus (sterlet), 1974 nucleotides. RefSeq lists it as uncharacterized. Lineage: Eukaryota; Metazoa; Chordata; Actinopteri; Acipenseriformes; Acipenseridae. The transcript is spliced from 4 exons. The record is from RefSeq and is a predicted model, not a curated record.
UCGUUAUGUUUUAAAAUGUGUGUUAACGGAUAAAAUGCAAUUGAAUCCUAUUAGAAUAAGACACCCACUCCGGCCUUGGAUAAUGGAAUGUGUCUCAUGCGUUCAUCUUUCCCUUCUUUUUGUUUGUUUGUAUGUUAGGAGGCAACAUUAGCUUGUGUUCAUCAAAUGACCGCACUUGUGAAAUAGGAUUCAAACCCAUAAUGACAGUUAAGAGUGGUGAAUGCUGCCCAACCUAUACCUGUGUACUAAAGGGCGUCUGUGUUCACAACAACGCAGAAUAUACGUCAUUAUAGAGCUGUGCAAACCGAGUCUCUCCGCACAAACCCAAGCAGCUGUUUCUUCACUCGUUUCACUUUGAAUGGUAAAUGAGCCCAAUCGACAUCGUUGCGGAAGGCGCUCUGUCUCCACAGUGAACAGGUAACCGCUAAGACAAGAGGGCCCUCCCUACCAUUAACGCUGUCGUCUCCCUUCCACCUUCCUGCAGCCUGGAGAGACGUGGUCUCCCCCUGACAACAAGUGUGCUCUGCAUGGAUGCAUGAAGAUCAAAACAUCAUCGUAUGCUGUAAAGAAUACUUGAACCCAGCUACACUGAACAUAUGCAACCUGUAUAUAGCAUGCACAAGUUAACGUAAAAGUUUGAAAAAGGAUGCGUGUUAUGCUUGAUAAAUUGCGGUAGCAGUUUUGCAGUGAUUUCACAAUCUAGCAGGAUGGGAAUCAAAAGUUUAUAAACAUCAGAAUAUAGUAGAUUUCAUAUUUCGGUGAGAGUUCAUGCACUGUAUUUGUUUCUGAUGGGUGUGGUUAUCCCUAACCAUAACCCUUGCUUUUUAUUUGGCCUGCUGUCAAAAUUAGUCAUUUUGAUGAGAUAAUGUCACUACUGGUGCGCACUGCACCAGUACUGCACAGUUCAGGCAGCUGCUCUGAAAUGGUGUCUGGCAUCCACAGAUAAAAAGCCAAAUAAACCAGAUCCUUCAAACAAUUCCAUUUUUUUACUUCAGGGAACCAUCCAAACCACUCCAGACGGCUGCUGAAAAUCACUUUACUGUACAUUCAAAGCUGUAUGAAUUCAAAGCUGCUGUCAGUUCCAUAGCAUCCUCAUACCUUCAGAUUACAAAGGUAUGAGAAAGUGGCCCUAAAGGGGUGAAGGAAGGCUCAGCUAACCAUUUUUAUCAUGCUUAAUACACAUUCAGUUGAAGUCAGAGUUUCCAUUCAAAGCUCUGAUCCAGUUGUUUUGUUUGUCACUCAGUAGUUAAGCUUCAAUAAAAACAUGUAUCAGUCAGACUAACAGUUAGGGUUGUGUCAUGGAUUUAAACACACUUCACUGCAAGGUUCAUUAAAAAAGGUGAAUUAAAAAAUAUUCUCUUUGCAGAUGUUGAGAAACAGAAGCUGACGACAGUCAAUAGCUACAUCACCUAUCAGGGCUGCCACUCCACUGAGAAGAUCGUGAUAAUGCAUUGCGAGGGCUCCUGUGGGACCUUCUCCAAAUAUUCUACUGAGGCUGCCAGCAUGGAGCACAGGUGCAGCUGCUGCCAGGAGACAAGACUCACAACGUGAGCAUUGCCCUGACCUGCCCCGACGGGAGGAACCUGCUCCAGAUCCAGACUGACCAGUGUGACUGCGUCACCACCGCCUGCGAGUCCUUAAGCAGCGUGCAGAGACAGGCUCUUCCGAAUAAGAGAAGCCGUUGAUCAGGGCAGAGGCCAUGAGUGAAAACAGAGCUCCACAAGCAAGACCGGAAAGACAGACCACCCUCCCUCACUCGAAACCAACGCAGCAGCAUAAUCUAGAUAGCUUUAGAAAAACACAGCCUUGCACAAAAUGAUGAGCGUUAUGUAUUUUUCCUUUCCUGCUUUGCAAAAAUAAGUAGUUCCUUGUUCUAUUGUUAAUAUUAGGAAUGCCAAACUGACCUUUUUUUUAUUUGUACUUUUGUUGUUGCUUAAAGUCCUAAAAUCAAUGCAGCUUUGCUACCAACCCCAA